Molecule: ribosomal RNA, 797 nt
Filed under: Rhodococcoides fascians
Lineage: Bacteria; Bacillati; Actinomycetota; Actinomycetes; Mycobacteriales; Nocardiaceae
Description: bacterial SSU rRNA
Rfam family: Bacterial small subunit ribosomal RNA
Source: RNAcentral
CAUGCAGUCGAGCGGUAAGGCCUUUCGGGGUACACGAGCGGCGAACGGGUGAGUAACACGUGGGUGAUCUGCCCUGCACUCUGGGAUAAGCUUGGGAAACUGGGUCUAAUACCGGAUAUGACCGCAUGCCGCAUGGUGUGUGGUGGAAAGAUUUAUCGGUGCAGGAUGGGCCCGCGGCCUAUCAGCUUGUUGGUGGGGUAAUGGCCUACCAAGGCGACGACGGGUAGCCGACCUGAGAGGGUGACCGGCCACACUGGGACUGAGACACGGCCCAGACUCCUACGGGAGGCAGCAGUGGGGAAUAUUGCACAAUGGGCGGAAGCCUGAUGCAGCGACGCCGCGUGAGGGAUGAAGGCCUUCGGGUUGUAAACCUCUUUCAGCAGGGACGAAGCGUGAGUGACGGUACCUGCAGAAGAAGCACCGGCUAACUACGUGCCAGCAGCCGCGGUAAUACGUAGGGUGCGAGCGUUGUCCGGAAUUACUGGGCGUAAAGAGUUCGUAGGCGGUUUGUCGCGUCGUUUGUGAAAACCCGGGGCUCAACUUCGGGCUUGCAGGCGAUACGGGCAGACUUGAGUGUUUCAGGGGAGACUGGAAUUCCUGGUGUAGCGGUGAAAUGCGCAGAUAUCAGGAGGAACACCGGUGGCGAAGGCGGGUCUCUGGGAAACAACUGACGCUGAGGAACGAAAGCGUGGGUAGCAAACAGGAUUAGAUACCCUGGUAGUCCACGCCGUAAACGGUGGGCGCUAGGUGUGGGUUCCUUCCACGGGAUCUGUGCCGUAGCUAACGCAUUAAUCGCC